UCUGCGAUUUCCGAAUGGGGAAACCCAACUGCAUAAGCAGUUACUGUUAACUGAAUACAUAGGUUAACAGAGCAAACCGGGGGAACUGAAACAUCUAAGUACCCCGAGGAGAAGAAAUCAACCGAGAUUCCGGUAGUAGCGGCGAGCGAACCUGGAUUAGCCCUUAAGCACUCGGUGAAGUAGGUGAACAAGCUGGAAAGCUUGGCGAUACAGGGUGAUAGCCCCGUAACCGACGCUUCAUCGAGCGUGAAAUCGAGUAGGGCGGGACACGUGAUAUCCUGUCUGAAUAUGGGGGGACCAUCCUCCAAGGCUAAAUACUCCUGACUGACCGAUAGUGAACCAGUACCGUGAGGGAAAGGCGAAAAGAACCCCUGUGAGGGGAGUGAAAUAGAACCUGAAACCGUGUACGUACAAGCAGUAGGAGCACCUUCGUGGUGUGACUGCGUACCUUUUGUAUAAUGGGUCAGCGACUUAUAUUCAGUGGCAAGGUUAACCGUAUAGGGGAGCCGUAGCGAAAGCGAGUCUUAACUGGGCGCUCAGUCUCUGGAUAUAGACCCGAAACCGGGUGAUCUAGCCAUGGGCAGGUUGAAGGUUGAGUAACAUCAACUGGAGGACCGAACCGACUAAUGUUGAAAAAUUAGCGGAUGACUUGUGGCUAGGGGUGAAAGGCCAAUCAAACUCGGAGAUAGCUGGUUCUCCCCGAAAGCUAUUUAGGUAGCGCCUCGGACGAAUACUACUGGGGGUAGAGCACUGUUAAGGCUAGGGGGUCAUCCCGACUUACCAACCCUUUGCAAACUCCGAAUACCAGUAAGUACUAUCCGGGAGACACACGGCGGGUGCUAACGUCCGUCGUGGAGAGGGAAACAACCCAGACCGCCAGCUAAGGUCCCAAAGUAUUGCUAAGUGGGAAACGAUGUGGGAAGGCUCAGACAGCUAGGAUGUUGGCUUAGAAGCAGCCAUCAUUUAAAGAAAGCGUAAUAGCUCACUAGUCGAGUCGGCCUGCGCGGAAGAUGUAACGGGGCUAAGCAAUACACCGAAGCUGCGGCAAUAUCUUUUAGAUAUUGGGUAGGGGAGCGUUCUGUAAGCCGUUGAAGGUGAAUCGUAAGGUUUGCUGGAGGUAUCAGAAGUGCGAAUGCUGACAUGAGUAACGACAAAGGGGGUGAAAAACCUCCUCGCCGGAAGACCAAGGGUUCCUGUCCAACGUUAAUCGGGGCAGGGUGAGUCGACCCCUAAGGUGAGGCCGAAAGGCGUAAUCGAUGGGAAACGGGUUAAUAUUCCCGUACUUCUGACUAUUGCGAUGGGGGGACGGAGAAGGCUAGGUGGGCCAGGCGACGGUUGUCCUGGUUCAAGUGCGUAGGCUUGAGAGUUAGGUAAAUCCGGCUCUCUCUAAGGCUGAGACACGACGUCGAGCUGCUACGGCAGUGAAGUCAUUGAUGCCAUGCUUCCAGGAAAAGCCUCUAAGCUUCAGAUAGUCAGGAAUCGUACCCCAAACCGACACAGGUGGUCGGGUAGAGAAUACCAAGGCGCUUGAGAGAACUCGGGUGAAGGAACUAGGCAAAAUGGUACCGUAACUUCGGGAGAAGGUACGCUCUUGAUGGUGAAGUCCCUCGCGGAUGGAGCUGACGAGAGUCGCAGAUACCAGGUGGCUGCAACUGUUUAUUAAAAACACAGCACUGUGCAAAAUCGCAAGAUGACGUAUACGGUGUGACGCCUGCCCGGUGCCGGAAGGUUAAUUGAUGGGGUUAGCGCAAGCGAAGCUCUUGAUCGAAGCCCCGGUAAACGGCGGCCGUAACUAUAACGGUCCUAAGGUAGCGAAAUUCCUUGUCGGGUAAGUUCCGACCUGCACGAAUGGCGUAAUGAUGGCCACGCUGUCUCCACCCGAGACUCAGUGAAAUUGAAAUCGCUGUGAAGAUGCAGUGUACCCGCGGCUAGACGGAAAGACCCCGUGAACCUUUACUACAGCUUGGCACUGAACAUUGAACCUACAUGUGUAGGAUAGGUGGGAGGCUAUGAAGACGUGACGCCAGUUGCGUUGGAGCCGUCCUUGAAAUACCACCCUUGUAUGUUUGAUGUUCUAACUUAGACCCAUUAUCUGGGUUGAGGACAGUGCCUGGUGGGUAGUUUGACUGGGGCGGUCUCCUCCCAAAGAGUAACGGAGGAGCACGAAGGUGGGCUAAUCACGGUUGGACAUCGUGAGGUUAGUGCAAUGGCAUAAGCCCGCUUAACUGCGAGAAUGACGGUUCGAGCAGGUGCGAAAGCAGGUCAUAGUGAUCCGGUGGUUCUGUAUGGAAGGGCCAUCGCUCAACGGAUAAAAGGUACUCCGGGGAUAACAGGCUGAUACCGCCCAAGAGUUCAUAUCGACGGCGGUGUUUGGCACCUCGAUGUCGGCUCAUCACAUCCUGGGGCUGAAGUCGGUCCCAAGGGUAUGGCUGUUCGCCAUUUAAAGUGGUACGCGAGCUGGGUUUAGAACGUCGUGAGACAGUUCGGUCCCUAUCUGCCGUGGGCGUUGGAAGAUUGAAGGGGGCUGCUCCUAGUACGAGAGGACCGGAGUGGACGAACCUCUGGUGUUCGGGUUGUGUCGCCAGACGCAUUGCCCGGUAGCUAAGUUCGGAAUUGAUAAGCGCUGAAAGCAUCUAAGCGCGAAGCGAGCCCUGAGAUGAGUCUUCCCUGACAGUUUAACUGUUCUAAAGGGUUGUUCGAGACUAGAACGUUGAUAGGCAGGGUGUGUAAGCGUUGUGAGGCGUUGAGCUAACCUGUACUAAUUGCCCGUGAGGCUUAACCAUACAACACCCA
RNAcentral lists this ribosomal RNA (2793 nucleotides) under Vibrio cholerae. RNAcentral describes it as "partial 23S ribosomal RNA". It matches the Rfam family "Bacterial large subunit ribosomal RNA". The record is from RNAcentral. Lineage: Bacteria; Pseudomonadati; Pseudomonadota; Gammaproteobacteria; Vibrionales; Vibrionaceae.